RNAcentral lists this long non-coding RNA (1515 nucleotides) under Malurus cyaneus samueli. RNAcentral describes it as "lncRNA (ENSMCSG00000010938.1)". The record is from RNAcentral. Lineage: Eukaryota; Metazoa; Chordata; Aves; Passeriformes; Maluridae.
ACCUGACACGUUCGCCAGCCGUACGUCGCUCGCCUCUCGUCCUGUUUGUGUGGUUGUCCCCGUGCAGGGAUGCCCCGCCGGCGUGCAGUGCCCACGCUGACCACGCUGUGCCUGCAGAGCCUGGCCCAGCACAUGCAGAGCCUCUGGGCCAAGGACUACAGUGACAACUACCUGGACGAGUACGAGUUCCGCUUCCUCGUGGGCCCCUUCAAUGAUCUGGGUGAGGAGUGGGGGCUGUGCCACGGCACCGGGACCCCCGUGUGGGGCGGGUGGGGGUCCCAGGCCUCGCUGACCCCCUGUUUUCCCCCCAGCCUGCGGGCUGGUGCAGGAGCUGCUGCGGCUGCUGGGGACGAGCCGGCGGCUGUCACGCGCGGCGCUGCAUCUGCUGCUGCUGCCACACCUGCGCCAGCUCAGCCUGCGCUCGUGCCCCGCGCUCGCCAACAACGCCCUGGGCAACCUCAUCGUCCUGCGCUGCCAGGGCCUGAGUGUGCUGGACCUGGGGGGCUGCGGGCGGCUCUCGCCGUCCGUGCUGGUGGACCUGGCCGAGGGGCUGCCCCGCCUGAGCCGCCUGGGGCUGGCCCACACCCAGGCCAACGUCCAGGUGCUCUCGGCCGUGGGCUCCUGCUGCCGCCACCUGCGGGAGCUCGACGUGUCCGGCUGCAAGAAGGUGACGCCGCGCGCCCUGCGCCACCUGGGCUACGACCCCCUGGCACGGACCCCCGGCUGCCCCGCGCUCCGCGUCCUGCUGGCCCGCAAUCUGGAGCACAGCGGGGACAGGGACAUGGUGGCCGCUGUGGCCUUUCUGCUGCUGGCCCUGCCAUGCCUGGAGGUGCUGGCACACGGUGCUGUGCCGGAUGCGCUCCAUCUGCUCCAUACUCAGCAGUUGGAUGGCACCAAGGACUCCGAGGGCUUCCCCUCGCUUGAGGAGCUGGCACAGAGCCAGGGAGCCGCACCAGAGGGACUCCCACUCAAGCUGCCCCUGCGGCAGCUGGAGGAGGUGGAGGAGGAUGCCCUGGGCACCGUGCACGCCAUGUGUCCCAAGGCUGAGGAGGUCAGCGUGUGGCUGGGGGACAGCCCCGGCCCCGCAGGGCUCCGGGAGCUGCUGGGCUGGAAGCGCCUGUCCCGGGUGACACUGGGCUGUACCGGGCGGCACGGCCGGGCACUGGCAGAGGUGCUGCCGCUGGCAGAGGGCCUGGGCGCCCGCCUGCACACCCUGACCCUGCACGGCUUCAGCUGCCGGGAUCCGCUCUCGCUGCCCUCGCUGCUCUCCAACUGCCCCGGCCUGCAGAGCUUCGGCGCCGAGCUGGAAGUGCCGCCGGACCCCCGCGCCCACGACGAACCCCCCGAGGAAUCCCCCACCUCGCCGCCACGCUGGGCCACCGACCUGCUGCCCCGCGGGCUGCCCCAGCUGCAGAGCUUCUCGCUGACCCUGGCCGGGUCCGUGCCGGCCGCGCACAGGCCGGUGCUGAGCUCCACGCUGGCCUCGCUGCUUUGCGGGGCCCCGCAGCUCCAGAC